UACGGAGGGGGCUAGCGUUGUUCGGAAUUACUGGGCGUAAAGCGCACGUAGGCGGAUCGAUCAGUCAGGGGUGAAAUCCCAGGGCUCAACUCCGGAAUUGCCUUUAAGACUGCAUCGCUAGAAUUGUGGAGAGGUAAGUGGAAUUCCGAGUGUAGAGGUGAAAUGCGUAGAUAUCGGGAGGAACACCUGUGGCGAAAGCGGCGCACUGGACCAUAACUGACGCUGAGGCGCGAAAGCUAGGGGAGCAAACAGG
Molecule: ribosomal RNA, 253 nt
Filed under: uncultured bacterium
Lineage: Bacteria
Description: partial 16S ribosomal RNA
Rfam family: Bacterial small subunit ribosomal RNA
Source: RNAcentral